CCAAUAGCGUAUAUUAAAGUUGUUGCAGUUAAAAAGCUCGUAGUUGAAUUUCGGGAUUGACACAUCGGUCGUGCCUUAAGGGGUGUGAACUGGUGUAGUCAAUUUCUCACCUUCUGGAGAACCGCGAUGUCCUUAAUUGGGUGCCGCGAGGAACCAGGACCUUUACUUUGAAAAAAUUAGAGUGUUUAAAGCAGGCAUUUUUGCUUGAAUACAUUAGCAUGGAAUAAUAAAAUAGGACGGCAUGAUUCUAUUUUGUUGGUUUCUAGGAUCACCGUAAUGAUUAAUAGGGAUAGUUGGGGGCAUUAGUAUUCAAUUGUCAGAGGUGAAAUUCUUGGAUUUAUUGAAGACUAACUACUGCGAAAGCAUUUGCCAAGGAUGUUUUCAUUAAUCAAGAACGAAAGUUAGGGGAUCGAAGACGAUCAGAUACCGUCGUAGUCUUAACCAUAAACUAUGCCGACUAGGAAUCAGACGAUGUUAAUUUUUUAAUGACUCGUUUGGCACCUUACG
Molecule: non-coding RNA, 507 nt
Filed under: uncultured Glomeromycotina
Lineage: Eukaryota; Fungi; Glomeromycota
Also listed under: 1 other name
Description: partial small subunit ribosomal RNA
Rfam family: Eukaryotic small subunit ribosomal RNA
Source: RNAcentral